GUCAGUUCGGUGUUAAAGGACCACUAUAGUGCCCUGAGGGUGCCCCCUCCCGCCGGGCUCUGGGGAGAGGUAGGGGUUAAAAUCUUACCUUUCUCCAGUGCCGGGCGGGGAGCUCUCCUCCUCCUCUCCUCCUUCAUAGCGACGUCAUCGGCUGAAUGCGCAUGCAUUCAUGUAAAAAAAAAAAAGGGGGUUAACCCUAGCUGGACCUGGCACCCAGACAACUUCAUUAAGCUGAAGUGGUCUGGGUGAAUAUAGUGGUCCUUUAAUGCAUGCCAGGCUGCCUGUCAAUCAUCCAGUCGACCAUGCAUGGAGUAUUGUUUUAGAGUCCUACAUUUCCUGGGCAUAGCACGAGUGAGACUAAUGAAACGCUUGUUGGAGACCAUUCCCUGUCCGUCUACCUUUUUGUAACGGAUCAGUUUUUAAAAAACUUAAACACAUCACCUAUCUUCAAACUUCACACUCUAAAUUUACUAAAUCUAAGUAGUUCACUAAUCCUAAAAGCUGCAAUGAAAGCCAAACCGAACACAACUAAGAACAAAUAAUUGCUAUGCUUCAUUGUUAUGAAAAUCAUGCUGCAAAUGACAACCAUUAGAAUGUUGCAAGAAAUGUUUCCACACUUGCAAAUACUUUAUAAUCUCUGCUGACACCCUAAAAAAAAUGUUUUCCUUGCACAGGCCAAAGGCAUCUUUCUGCACAAUAUUCUUAUUGGCAUGACUCAACCUGCAAAACCCGGU
Pelobates cultripes (western spadefoot toad) is the source of this 734-nucleotide non-coding RNA. The record is from the annotation of a GenBank genome assembly. Lineage: Eukaryota; Metazoa; Chordata; Amphibia; Anura; Pelobatidae.